UUGAACUGGUGAAAUAAGUGUGCGGUCAGCAGAAGGUCCUGGCCAGCGCAGGUUUGCAUCAUGGUAUGGGGAAAGUUGGAGCAAGCGGGAACGAACCGUUAUGGCAGUCAAAGGCAAGAUUUCCUCCCGCCUGCAGAAGCUAAAAGGUACGGAGCUUUCCCUGGGGAUCAGCCCGCGUGCUGACGUGCUAACGCAGGAGGAUUCGGCAGCUGGAGCCUCUGAAGGUUUCAUGCUUGAGGGCCAGGGGCCUGAUCCUGCCGCUGUCUCACCCAGGAGCUGGUGUUUUCCGGAGGAUGAAGGUGGCUUCUCGCUAGCGAGAAAUGGGAUGAAAGGGGGAGCGAGCCCAACCACAAACGCACGCGUGCAUCCAUCAGCGUUAAGCGUUCCUUGUUUUUAACCUCCAUCAGCUUGAGGAUUACAGCGUCCUAAAGAGGGAAUGAUUCAGAAAUGGCCGGAGUCGUGGCAGAGGGAGGGGAGGACGAGCAGAGGAGGCUGGAAGGAAGCUGAACGCUGUGGGGUUGCACAGGGUGUGAACUGGGGCUUGGGCAGGUUCCCCUGCUGGUAAACGUGCUUAGCCAUGGUGAGCUUAUUAAGACCCAACCGAAGAUGUAAGGUAUUUGGCUCAUUAUAAUCAAAUCUCGUUGAUUUCCAUCCCUGUUUAAUUACAGGAAAAUGCACGCCAGGCUCCUUUUCCCUGAAGGCAGCAGCGCUGGCUCCCUGGCAAACCCCCACCUAUAGCUCCAGGAGGCUUCUGCCCCCGCGCCGUCUCCCUGCUGAGGUUUGCACACCCCAGGCACCCUGGAGGACAGCAAGAGCCGCUCGGACGCCUUCGAGCAGAGGUGGUGACGCCGUGCCCUGUGGCCACCCCACAGCCCUGAGCUCGGGCACCCCCUGCCCCAGCUUGGCAGCGGGGGCAGGACCUUCCUGAGGUGUCCUGGUGGAUCUGCGGGGUCAGAAAGCUGCUGGCGCCGGUGCUCUGCAUGCUGCAUCCCAGGAGGGCAGCUGCGCUUAAGGGAAUAUGGAUUAAAUAUUCAUAUACUUCAGGCGCAUGCCUCAUGUCGACCAGGAGCCUAGGAGCCUCAGCUUUCAGUUUGGUUGUCAGAAAAGAUAGGCUUCACCUUCCAGAGUACCUGCCUUUCUCCAUGGUCCCUGUACAGGCUUGGUGUACGUACAUAUAUAUAUCUAAAACAUAUAAAUUACAACACUACAUGUGUAUAUAUGUAGUGUUGCAUUGUGCCUGGCUGGGUUGGAGUUAAUUUUCUUCAGAGCAGACUGCAUGGUGCUGCGUAAGGUUUUUUUAUAUCUAGUGUGUGUGUGUGUAUAAAUAUAUAUAUAUGUAAUCCUUAAAUAGAUUUGUAAAUCCUUCCGCUACUCUGAAAACUCGUCGUGUAACCAGAUUGCUUCACUACGGCCAAAAAAGGAGAAAAUAACCCAAAUAAUAUUCGUUUUAGGGUACAGUUCUUUGAAGUGGUGACAGAGGUGAGAUGAGCAAGGAGGUAGGACGUGUCGUGCCCCGGUGUCGUGCGGUGAGACCGUUUUUGAGGUGCCACAGCCUAGAUGCUUUGUUUCUAUGCUUUCUCCUUAGCUUAAAGCUUCGUGGAUUUGUAUGCGCCAGCCCCUGCUUCCCUGCUGUCCCUGCCGCAGCUGGCUCACCCUCCUGGCUCGAUCACCCCAACAAUCCCAGCUGCUCCUCCCUCCUCUGGCACACUUCUGGGUGAACGAGGCAAGGUUUGGCAUUGGUGACCAUACGCCAGCCUUCCCGUUGUCAGAUCCAAUUUCUCAAAUCUUUUCCACGCUCCUCCUUUACAAAAUGACCUUAGAGAGCUUCAAAAGUAAAGCUAGGAGGCAGGACUUUGCUUCAGUCCCCCAGCCUGAUGUGGAGGCUGACCCAUAAUACUAUUUCGUAACAUCUACAAAAUAAACUGGAGAGCAGAGAUCUUGGCCUCUCUUGA
RNAcentral lists this long non-coding RNA (1952 nucleotides) under Anser brachyrhynchus (Pink-footed goose). RNAcentral's name for it is "lncRNA (ENSABRG00000020878.1)". Lineage: Eukaryota; Metazoa; Chordata; Aves; Anseriformes; Anatidae. The record is from RNAcentral.